This is a non-coding RNA of Lacerta agilis (Sand lizard), 71 nucleotides long. The record is from the annotation of a RefSeq genome assembly. NCBI's taxonomy places the organism in Eukaryota, Metazoa, Chordata, Lepidosauria, Squamata, Lacertidae.
GGGCUGUAGCUCAGUGGAAGAGCGUCUGCCUUGCAUGCAGAAGGUCCCAGGUUUGAUCUCUGGCAGCAUCG